RNAcentral lists this long non-coding RNA (1216 nucleotides) under Sinocyclocheilus grahami. RNAcentral's name for it is "lncRNA (ENSSGRG00000001590.1)". The record is from RNAcentral. Lineage: Eukaryota; Metazoa; Chordata; Actinopteri; Cypriniformes; Cyprinidae.
AAGGUAAUGGAGCGUUUGCGCGAGCCUCGUGUGGAGUUUUUGGAUAUGCCGGUGGGAACGUAUGAGUUCAGUGUGCGCUGCCGCUCCACCAGCAACAAACACUGGAGUGCAUGGAGCGAGUCCGUCAUCGUCACCAUCAACGGCAGAGCUCUGUCCGGUACUCACACACCACUUACGCAUAUAUCAGACUGAUAGCUGCUGCUCUAAGUGUCUGUCUGCCUCUCAGAUCGGAUGUUGGCCUUGAUCCUUGUGACCAGCAUCGCCAUCAUGAUCGUCCUCUUCAUCAGUUUGGGGAACAUCCCACGAGGCAAGAGCAGGAUUAAAUCGCUCCUCCUGCCAGCGAUUCCCAAACCGCGCAUCCCAGGGCUUGAACCCGCUCUGCUGAAGAAGGGGAAGAUUGACGAGCUCAAUCAGCAUUUCUGCAGUUUUCACGGCUAUAAGUCGCUGCAGUACUGCACGGAUACGUGGUACCAGGUGAGCGUGGACACUAAUCCGGCUGUGACGCCUGACGGUAUACAGGAGGAUGCACCGAUCGGGCCAAUCACGCAGUACGUCACCUGCCCUGACGGACAACAGUCUGUUCAGAUCAGCUGCACUCCUGCGCCGUACUGUCGUGGCCCCGCCCCCUAUUGUGAGGAAGACACGCCCCCUCCAUACCCUGGCCCCACCCAUCCGGAGCUCGCCUCUAUCCCAGGCAUGGACUACAGCAUGAUUCUAAGCCCCGCCCCUGCGGCACCGCCCACUCAGGACUUCUACACAUGUGUGAGCAGCGUGAUGCCCGCCAGCGCGCAGCAUCUGGUACCCUACGUGCAGCUCAACGAGGGAGCGGAUGACGAAGCAGACAAGAGCAGCCAGCUGGCAGCGCUGCUGGAGAAGCAGAUGGAGGCGCUGUUGAGCACGAUCGAGUCGGACCCGAGCGAAGCUGGCAUGCCUUCACUACCUCAUUCAUCAGACAGGAGCUGCAGAAGCAUCUAACACACACACACACACACACACACACACACAGAAUAACACAGUCCAUGAGUCACGCAGUCUGUGCUGGUUUGUCUUGAUGGGAAACGUGCCUGGAGUUUCAGUUCAAGCUGAGCGCAUUCGCAUGCAGAAUGCCUGAUUCACAGCGCAAGUGUCAGCAGCGCAUCAUUUUUCACUGCGCAUGUUAAGAAACGAGGUUGUUCACAUUGAAGCGUGAGCAUUGCAUUAGCAGCAGUGGUGUUUU